Molecule: long non-coding RNA, 830 nt
Organism: Symphalangus syndactylus (siamang)
Lineage: Eukaryota; Metazoa; Chordata; Mammalia; Primates; Hylobatidae
Source: RefSeq, a predicted model, not a curated record
CGCCGAGCCUCGGAGAGCAGCGGCUUUGCUUUUCUGGCUGAGGUGCCCAAUAAACAUCUCUUAAACAAAGGAGUGCGCAAGUGAGAUAACAUAAGGGGGAUGCCCAACUAUACAACAAAGAGUUGCCAAACAUUCCUCUGGAGCAAAUAAAUGGUGUGAUGGAUGGAACUAACUGGAUCACCAACCUGUGAGAGAUGGCUGGUUCACUGGCCUUGGCCUCCUCAGGCCAUGACAUUAAUUCACUGGAUCCACUCGCCACCCUGCUCUAUGGCCCUGGGCGUGACUUGCUCUUGCCCCUUGCCUUCUGUUCGGAUCCUGCCAAUGAGGACCUCUAGCAGGAGAUGGGGGCUUGCAUAUUUACCUGACAGGCUGGGCUCCACACAGCCUUUCUGUCUGCAGCCCACACAGCACAAUGAGAUAAAGACUAGAGGCUGCUCACUGCUGAGAGUGGACCAUCCAGCUCACUUGGUCACAUAGUUUCCAGCCAGCCACCUUAUGGGCAAGAUUUUGGCUCAUCUGUAAGCUAUUAGCUGGAAAAUACUGGCUUCAUGAAAUGGCUUGGAAGAUUUGGAGGCAACCUAAGUGUCCAUCAACAGAUGAAUGGAUAAAGAAUAACAGGGUGACUAAAGUCAAUAAUAAUUUAAUUAUACAUUUAAAAAUAACUAAAAGAGUGUAAUUGGAUUGUUUGUAACACAGAAGAUAAAUGUUUGUGGGAAUGAAUACAUGAUGCGAUUAUUUGCAUUGCAUGCCUGUAACAAAAUAUCUUAUGUACCCCGUAAAUAUACACACCUACUAUGUACCCACAAAAAUUAAAAAUUUUUUAAAAAUGA